This 599-nucleotide small RNA is filed under the name uncultured delta proteobacterium. RNAcentral's name for it is "bacterial LSU rRNA". The stretch from base 1 to 188 matches the Rfam family "Bacterial small subunit ribosomal RNA", at positions 1348 to 1533 of the family's 1533-position model. The record is from RNAcentral. Lineage: Bacteria; Deltaproteobacteria.
UCCAGCAGCCGCGGUAAUACGUUCCCGGGCCUUGUACACACCGCCCGUCACACCAUGGAAGCCAGCUGUACCGGAAGUCGGUGCGCUAACCCCGCAAGGGGAGGUAGCCGCCUAUGGUAUGACUGGUGACUGGGGUGAAGUCGUAACAAGGUAGCCGUAGGGGAACCUGCGGCUGGAUCACCUCCUUUCUAAGGAUUGUUUCCCGCAGCAAUGUGGGAACAUACCUAGGUCAAUCAGAUCUGAAGAUCCCGUCUGAGAUCUGAAAUAUCAACGUCUCGAUAGCAGACGGUCGCCCCUAAACCCGCUACUAUUUAGUUUUGAAAGACCAAAGACGAUUCGGCUGUGCUUCGUAUAACCAACUGGCUCGAUAAGAGAGCUUAUUGAAGAGCGCUUUCAAACGAAGCGUCGUUCACUAAUCUCUUCGAGAUUGGUCACACUUCCUCAUUCCCUCUCCCCUGUGGGAGAGGCUUAGGGUGAGGGAUUGUAGAUGUUCUUUGACAACUGAAUACGGGUAAAGAAAGCUGCAAUUGAGCUGAGUAGUAUUGGCGAAUAUGGUCAAGCUACUAAGGGCAUACGGUGGAUACCUAGGCACACAGAGA